Molecule: long non-coding RNA, 353 nt
Organism: Cygnus atratus (black swan)
Lineage: Eukaryota; Metazoa; Chordata; Aves; Anseriformes; Anatidae
Exons: 3
Source: RefSeq, a predicted model, not a curated record
CAAGGAGAACAGAAGGAAAUGCAAGAAAUUCAUGCCUCGAUGAUGAAUAUCUGUGAGAAUACAACUACACAACAGUAGCUAUGUCGCCAUUAGCAAGUGAUUUGGAUCAAGAGGAUUGGUUUACUAUAAAUAAACAGGGCUUGGAGCACAUGGAAGGGCAUGAAUUUCACCUUCCCCGGGAAGACUAUGGACAAGGUACACCAAAACCACUCUGGAUCCAAACCACUGUGUGAUAAAGAGGAGAGAGAUCCCUGCACACCUUCGAGGGUUUCAUGGCCAUCUCUUGGCUUCGUGUGUCGCCACCACUUCUGCACUGACUUGGCAACAAGGCGAGUUUGCAGGAAGGCAGAAUG